RNAcentral lists this ribosomal RNA (147 nucleotides) under Klebsiella quasipneumoniae. RNAcentral describes it as "16S rRNA. Bacterial SSU". It matches the Rfam family "Bacterial small subunit ribosomal RNA", at positions 1 to 141 of the family's 1533-position model. Lineage: Bacteria; Pseudomonadati; Pseudomonadota; Gammaproteobacteria; Enterobacterales; Enterobacteriaceae. The record is from RNAcentral.
UUAAAUUGAAGAGUUUGAUCAUGGCUCAGAUUGAACGCUGGCGGCAGGCCUAACACAUGCAAGUCGAGCGGUAGCACAGAGAGCUUGCUCUCGGGUGACGAGCGGCGGACGGGUGAGUAAUGUCUGGGAAACUGCCUGAUGGAGGGG